Molecule: long non-coding RNA, 327 nt
Filed under: Fragaria vesca (wild strawberry)
Lineage: Eukaryota; Viridiplantae; Streptophyta; Magnoliopsida; Rosales; Rosaceae
Description: long non-coding RNA (FVES_LNC002241)
Source: RNAcentral
GCGGUGAGGGUGGUCUUGCCGUGGUCGACGUGGCCGAUGGUGCCGAUGUUGACGUGGGGCUUCUUGCGCUCGAACUUGCCACGCGCGGCCUUGACGGUGAAGGAGCGGCGCGUGAGGGUGUGGCGCGUGGUGGAGGGAGUAGGGGUGAGGUGGAGGAUGGUGGAGGGGUUAAGGAAGGAAGAGGAGAGAUGGGUGAGCUUGGAAGUGGGUCUAAUUGAGAAGGAACAAGGGUUUGAGGAAGGUGAGGAGGAGACAUAAGGGUAUGUGAGCUUAGAUGAAGCUGCUGCUGCUGUUGAGAUUGCCAUGGCUCUAAUUGGGUCUUCUUCU